GGCUCGGUAGCUUAGUUGGUUAAGUGCUCGUCUAUAGCAUUUAAAAGUGCUGGGUUCAAAUCCCAGCCGAGCAC
Molecule: transfer RNA, 74 nt
Filed under: Aedes aegypti (yellow fever mosquito)
Lineage: Eukaryota; Metazoa; Arthropoda; Insecta; Diptera; Culicidae
Rfam family: tRNA
About the family: Transfer RNA (tRNA) molecules are approximately 80 nucleotides in length. Their secondary structure includes four short double-helical elements and three loops (D, anti-codon, and T loops). Further hydrogen bonds mediate the characteristic L-shaped molecular structure. tRNAs have two regions of fundamental functional importance: the anti-codon, which is responsible for specific mRNA codon recognition, and the 3' end, to which the tRNAs corresponding amino acid is attached (by aminoacyl-tRNA synthetases). tRNAs cope with the degeneracy of the genetic code in two manners: having more than one tRNA (with a specific anti-codon) for a particular amino acid; and 'wobble' base-pairing, i.e. permitting non-standard base-pairing at the 3rd anti-codon position.
Source: Rfam by way of RNAcentral